CUGCAGCUCAAGUGGUGAUCAUUAUUAUUGGGCCUAAAACGUCCGUAGCCUGUUUAGUAAAUGCCUGGGUAAAUCGUGUAGCUUAACUAUACGAAUUCCGGUUAGACUGCUAAACUUGAGACCGGGAGAGGCUAGAGGUACUCCUGGGGUAGAGGUGAAAUUCUGUAAUCCUAGGGGGACCACCAGUGGCGAAGGCGUCUAGCUAGAACGGGUCUGACGGUGAGGGACGAAGCCCUGGGGCACAAUCCGGAUUAGAUACCCGAGUAGUCC
Molecule: ribosomal RNA, 270 nt
Filed under: uncultured archaeon
Lineage: Archaea
Description: partial 16S ribosomal RNA
Rfam family: Archaeal small subunit ribosomal RNA
Source: RNAcentral